RNAcentral lists this microRNA precursor (105 nucleotides) under Canis lupus familiaris (dog). RNAcentral describes it as "mir-8834 microRNA precursor family". It matches the Rfam family "mir-8834 microRNA precursor family". The record is from Rfam by way of RNAcentral. Lineage: Eukaryota; Metazoa; Chordata; Mammalia; Carnivora; Canidae. RNAcentral also lists the same sequence under 1 other name.
UGGAGGAACAACCCCAGUGGCGGGGCCAGCUCUGGAAACCUGGAUUCAGCCCCCACAGGAACUCUGAAGCACUCUGCCUGUAGGGCCUGGAGGUUCCGGGAUGGG